RNAcentral lists this small RNA (304 nucleotides) under Drosophila mojavensis. RNAcentral's name for it is "GI25689". The record is from RNAcentral. Lineage: Eukaryota; Metazoa; Arthropoda; Insecta; Diptera; Drosophilidae.
UUCUGAGUGGUGCAGCCAACUUUGCCAGCAUCCGUCACUUUUAUUCUGUUCGUAGAACGUGUUACACUAUUUCAGUUGAAUUUAAAAGAUGUGAACUGUUACUGCAAUCGCCGGCUAAGGCAGGCUCUAAAAUACAUAUUUGAAAUUGAAAAAAUGGGACACUAUCAGUGUAGUCGUAACUAAAAUGCCACUGAAAAACCUAAGGUUAUGCAAUCAUGUAACGGGUAAUUGUAAACCUCAUGUAGACUGUCUGCCAUACAUCAACCUGGACGAGAAUACCUAAUUUAGGUGCUGGAAGUGUUGG